RNAcentral lists this ribosomal RNA (483 nucleotides) under uncultured bacterium. Its description in RNAcentral is "partial 16S ribosomal RNA". It matches the Rfam family "Bacterial small subunit ribosomal RNA", at positions 30 to 507 of the family's 1533-position model. The record is from RNAcentral.
AUUGAACGCUGGCGGCAGGCCUAACACAUGCAAGUCGAGCGGAUGAAGGGAGCUUGCUCCUGGAUUCAGCGGCGGACGGGUGAGUAAUGCCUAGGAAUCUGCCUGGUAGUGGGGGAUAACGUCCGGAAACGGGCGCUAAUACCGCAUACGUCCUGAGGGAGAAAGUGGGGGAUCUUCGGACCUCACGCUAUCAGAUGAGCCUAGGUCGGAUUAGCUAGUUGGUGGGGUAAAGGCCUACCAAGGCGACGAUCCGUAACUGGUCUGAGAGGAUGAUCAGUCACACUGGAACUGAGACACGGUCCAGACUCCUACGGGAGGCAGCAGUGGGGAAUAUUGGACAAGGGGCGAAAGCCUGAUCCAGCCAUGCCGCGUGUGUGAAGAAGGUCUUCGGAUUGUAAGCACUUUAAGUUGGGAGGAAGGGCAGUAAGUUAAUACCUUGCUGUUUUGACGUUACCAACAGAAUAAGCACCGGCUAACUUCGUG